This 460-nucleotide ribosomal RNA is filed under the name uncultured bacterium. Its description in RNAcentral is "partial 16S ribosomal RNA". It matches the Rfam family "Bacterial small subunit ribosomal RNA", at positions 338 to 795 of the family's 1533-position model. The record is from RNAcentral.
CCUACGGGAGGCAGCAGUGAGGAAUAUUGGUCAAUGGGCGCGAGCCUGAACCAGCCAAGUAGCGUGAAGGAUGACUGUCCUACGGGUUGUAAACUUCUUUUAUAAAGGAAUUAAUUGAGGCAUGUGUGCCUUUUUGUAUGUACUUUAUGAUUCAGGAUCGGCUAACUCCGUGCCAGCAGCCGCGGUAAUACGGAGGAACCGAGCGUUAUCCGGAUUUAUUGGGUUUAAAGGGAGCGUAGAUGGGUUGUUAAGUCAGUUGUGAAAGUUUGCUGCUUAAACGUAAAAUUGCAAUUGAUACUGGCAGUCUUGAGUACAGGUGAGGUAGGCGGAAUUCGUGGUGUAGGGGUGAAAUGCUUAGAUAUCAAGAAGAAUUCCGAUUGCGAAGGCAGCUUACUAAACUGCCACUGACAUUGAUGCUCGAAAGUGUGGGUAGCAAACAGGAUUAGAUACCCGUGUAGUC